CUCCAGCCUGGUCUCUCCAGAACCCGGGCCAGGCCCAGCUUGGGCCGCCUCGGAGAUGCGGUCCGGACUCCCAGAAGACAAUACAACUUCCCUCUAUUGGCUACAAUACGUCGCGCCCUUCUCAGAGGCCAGGCACUGGAGAGAGAGAGAGAGAGAGAUCAUUUGAUUACUGCUUGUCACAAGCCAGUGAGGAGGCUCCCAUCAUGAAGUCCAUCGUACAGCUGAGGAUAAGAAGAUCCAGCAGAGAAGUUUAAAAAUUUCCCCAAGGUGCCCGAAUGCUCUGUCACCUGCGUGUCUGGACUGAGCGUCGCACACGCACUGUCCAGAAACCCGGAGCCCAGGGGUUGCAGCAGAAUCUAGAGUCAUCCGUUGCCUGUCUUGCUCAGCCAUCUGCCGCUUGGAGGAAGAAUCCUGACUUACCCUGAGGGAGAAAAGCAUUAGCGCCUGAGAAAGAGAGCCCAGAACAGCCCAAGAGGGCAGAACUGUCCCAAGUGCCGCUAACCCCUGGUUCUGCGCCGGGGGGACCAAGCAGGAACAGGUGAUCCUGCCUCCACGUACAGAAUCUCAAAGCAAGCCUGCCUCUCCCCCUGAGAGGUCACACUUGGUGUCCUCUAACUGUGGCCAGGCGUGGAGAAUCCCGUGGGCUUUGGUUAGGUGCUGUCUGUGGUUUCCGAGACCUGCGGAGGCUGGUCAAGGAGGCGGCCGCACUGAGGGGAGGGGCAGCCUUCCAGCCCUUUGUACGGAGAAACUGCCAUCCCUUGCAAGCCACCACGCUGGGGCUGGGCGACUCCGUCAAGUGGAGAGAGACCCUGGUCCCUCCGCUGAAGAGAAGACCAGCCUGGCCUUGGCUCUAAGGCAGCUCUGGACCUCCAAGUUGCUAGAGCCUGAGCCCCCUGCAGCAGAGACCCCUCCUGACACAUGGUAGAAAGUAGAAGAAGCAGGGCUCCCUGCCCCCACCUUUAUUUCAUUCCUGCAUUUCCUAAAAUCGAGGUCUAAAUUACAUGCAGUGAAACACACAAACUUGCCUACGUAUUCCCCCUUUCCACAACCACCUGGAUCGAGGUCCGGAAGGGACAGAGGGUUCCUUCCCGUCCCUUCCAGUCAACACCCCCCCAUCCAGAGGUUUGAAAUCUCUGAUUUCUACCAUCCUGGGGUUGGUUUUGGCUGUUCUUGAACUUUGUAAAAAUGGAACCCUGCGGUAUUGAGUACUUUUUGUGUCUAGUUUUCUUGUGUUUUCUUUCGUUUUUUUUGUUUUGUUUUGUUUUGUUUUGUUUUUUU
Long non-coding RNA from Felis catus (domestic cat), 1278 nucleotides. RefSeq lists it as uncharacterized. The transcript has 3 exons. The record is from RefSeq and is a predicted model, not a curated record. Lineage: Eukaryota; Metazoa; Chordata; Mammalia; Carnivora; Felidae.